CAGCAGCCGCGGUAAAACGUAGGUGGCAAGCGUUGUCCGGAAUUAUUGGGCGUAAAGCGCGCGCAGGCGGAUCAGUCAGUCUGUCUUAAAAGUUCGGGGCUUAACCCCGUGAUGGGAUGGAAACUGCUGAUCUAGAGUAUCGGAGAGGAAAGUGGAAUUCCUAGUGUAGCGGUGAAAUGCGUAGAUAUUAGGAAGAACACCAGUGGCGAAGGCGACUUUCUGGACGAAAACUGACGCUGAGGCGCGAAAGCCAGGGGAGCGAACGGGAUUAGAGACCCCCGUAGUCCCUGUCUCUUAUACA
RNAcentral lists this ribosomal RNA (301 nucleotides) under uncultured bacterium. RNAcentral describes it as "partial 16S ribosomal RNA". It matches the Rfam family "Bacterial small subunit ribosomal RNA", at positions 509 to 809 of the family's 1533-position model. The record is from RNAcentral.